Molecule: long non-coding RNA, 97 nt
Organism: Camponotus floridanus (Florida carpenter ant)
Lineage: Eukaryota; Metazoa; Arthropoda; Insecta; Hymenoptera; Formicidae
Exons: 3
Source: RefSeq, a predicted model, not a curated record
AUUCCUCUAUUCUGAUCCUGAUUACAUGAAAGUACUUCAUCUAUUUUCCUUUUCAAAUUUUUGGUACCAUUUAUUAAGAUUAAUAGUGGCAUGUGUC